This 1857-nucleotide ribosomal RNA is filed under the name Triticum aestivum (bread wheat). RNAcentral describes it as "partial small subunit ribosomal RNA". The record is from RNAcentral. Lineage: Eukaryota; Viridiplantae; Streptophyta; Magnoliopsida; Poales; Poaceae.
AUGCAAGAGCGCAGGGUGAUUGCUUAUGCCUCCCGUCAAGUACGUCCUCAUGAAGAGAACUACCCAGUUCAUGACCUUGAGCUUGCUGCGGUUAUCUUUGCACUGAAGCUAUGGCGACAGUACCUUCUCGGUAAUCAUUGCGAGAUCUUUAGCGAUCAUCAGAGUCUGAAGUACCUGUUUACUCAGCCAGAUCUGAACCUCCGACAACAGCGAUGGAUGGAAGCUAUUGCUGACUACAACUGCGGUAUAUCCUAUACCCCUGGCAAGGCUAAUGUAAUGGCCGAUGCCCUGAGCCGUAAGUCUUAUUGCAACAAUCACAUGGUCUUCAAAGCUCAACCCCGCCUUUAUGAAGAGCUAUGCAAGCUGAACCUUCAACUAGUUCCACAGGGUUCUCUGAAUAACCUUGUCCUGGAACCAACUCUUCUCAAGGCUAUUAAGUCUGCACAAGCCAAAGAUUCUCACGUUGAUUUGAUGAAAAAGGAUAUUGCCUUAGAGAAAUCUAGAGAUUUCUCACUUGGUGAAGAUGGAACCUUAUACUUCAGAGAUCGCAUUGUAGUGCCCCGGUUCAAGCUUAUGACAGAGAAGGUUAUGAAAGAAGCACAUGACACCCCUCUCUCUAUUCAUCCGGGAAGUACCAAGAUGUAUCUAGACAUCCGUCAGAAGUACUGGUGGUCUAAAAUGAAGCAAGACAUUGCUCGAUAUAUCGAAGAAUGUGACGUUUGUCGUCGCGUCAAAGAAGAACAUCAGAAACCGGCUGGACUUCUACAACCGCUUCUGAUUCCUGAAUGGAAGUGGGAUAAGAUCCAAAUGGACUUCGUCACUGGCCUUCCCAAGUCUCAGAAAGGUAACGAUGCUAUCUUUGUCGUGAUCGACCAAUUCUCGAAGGUUGCUCACUUUCUGCCAGUCAAGGAGACUAUCACUGCUAGUCAAUUAGCAAACUUGUAUAUCUCCAGAAUUGUGUCACUCCACGGCAUUCCGAAGGAGAUCAGUUUAGACCGCGACAUUAUUUUCACUUCGAAGUUCUGGGAUAGUUUCCAAGAGGCAAUGGGAACUCAUAUUACCUGGAGCACUGCUUAUCAUCCCCAAUCCCAAGGCCAAGUCGAGCGAGUCAAUCAAAUUCUUGAAGACAUGCUUCGGGCUUGUGUUAUUUCUUUCGGCAAGAAGUGGGAAGAAUCUCUCCCUUAUGCGGAGUUCUCUUAUAACAACAGUUAUCAAGCCAGCUUGAAAAUGGCACCCUUUGAAGUGCUUUAUGGACGCAAGUGCCGAACCCCUCUGAAUUGGUCAGAAACUGGGGAACGGACGCUCAUUGGUCCAGACAUUAUUCAACAAGCUGAAGAGCAGGUACGCAUUCUCCGGGAUAAUCUCAAGGCGGCCCAGUCCCGCCAGAAGAGCAACUAUGACCGGAAACACUGGGGUUCAACUUAUCAACCUGGUGAACAAGCUUAUUUGCGUGUCACUCCUUUGAGAGGCACUCAUCGGUUCGGAGUCAAGGGCAAGGUAGCUCCGCGCUACAUUGGUCCUUUCCGCAUUCUGACCCGUCAUGGACUGGUGGCUUAUCAACUGGAGUUGCCACCUCAGUUCUCUCACGUCCAUGACGUCUUCCAUGUGUCGCAACUUCGUCGUUGCUUCAAGGACCCGGAACGUGAAGUGGAUCCGGAAUUGAUUGAAAUUCAAGAUGAUCUCACAUACAAAGAGCAUCCGAUCCGCAUUCUUGAAGAAGCUGAACGUCGAACCCGCCAGAAGGUUACCAGGUUCCUCAAGGUGCAAUGGUCGAAUCAUACUAAAGAUGAAGCCACUUGGGAACGCGAAGAUAACCUCCGGGCUGAAUACCCCGACCUGUUCCCUUCUACCUCUUAA